AUAUAAAAUUUUAAAAAAAAAAAUAAAAUUAAAAAAUUAAAUUUAAUAUAAAAAAGUAAAAAAUUUAUUAAAUUUUAAAAUUUUAAUUUAAAAAGUUAAAUUUAAAGAUUUAAAAUGUUCAAAUUUUAAUUUUAUUUAAUUAUCAUUGGGAAACCAUAUUCACAUAAUUGUAAAGUUUUAAAAAUUAAGAACUUUUUCAAUUCAGGGAGAAGAAGAACUUAUAAACCCCCCAUGGCCAAUAUCAUUAUUAUAAAUUAAAAUAAAAAUUAAAAUUUAAAUUUAUAUUUUGAGGUUAAAAGUUUAAACUUUAAUAAAUUUAAUUUUUGCCAGUUAAGUCAUUAAUAAUGGGUGGGGGUAAAUUUUCCCCCCGUCCCAUUAAAACGAAAUUAAUUUCCCCAAUUGUUGAUAUUCAAUAAAACCCCACCAUUUUUUUAAAACUUUCCAAUUUCUAGGUAGAAUCUUAAACAAUACUCACUAUCUGCCAAGUCCAAUUAUUUUAGCCUCUGGCUAUAGGAAAUUGUUAGUGGCAGACGGGUGAGUAAUGCGUAGGAAUCUACCUAGUAGUACGGAAUAGCCAUUAGAAAUGGUGGGUAAUACUGUAUAAUCCCCGAGGGGGAAAGAUUUAUCGCUAUUAGAUGAGCCUACGUUAGAUUAGCUAGUUGGUGAGGUAAUGGCUUACCAAGGCUAUGAUCUAUAGCUGGUCUGAGAGGACGAUCAGCCACACUGGAACUGAGAUACGGUCCAGACUCCUACGGGAGGCAGCAGUGGGGAAUAUUGGACAAUGGGCGAAAGCCUGAUCCAGCUAUGCCGCGUGAGUGAAGAAGGCAUUCGGGUGAACCUUACGC
RNAcentral lists this ribosomal RNA (845 nucleotides) under Ehrlichia canis. RNAcentral describes it as "bacterial SSU rRNA". The stretch from base 427 to 845 matches the Rfam family "Bacterial small subunit ribosomal RNA", at positions 1 to 438 of the family's 1533-position model. The record is from RNAcentral. Lineage: Bacteria; Pseudomonadati; Pseudomonadota; Alphaproteobacteria; Rickettsiales; Anaplasmataceae.